CCUACGGGCGGCAGCAGUGGGGAAUAUUGCGCAAUGGGCGAAAGCCUGACGCAGCGACGCCGCGUGAGGGAUGAAGGUCUUCGGAUCGUAAACCUCUGUCAGCAGGGAAGAACGGUCACUGUGCUAAUCAGCAGUGCAUUGACGGUACCUGCAAAGGAAGCACCGGCUAACUCCGUGCCAGCAGCCGCGGUAAUACGGAGGGUGCGAGCGUUAAUCGGAAUUACUGGGCGUAAAGCGCUCGUAGGCGGUAUGUCAAGUCAAGGGUGAAAUCCCCGGGCUCAACGUGGGAACUGCCUUUGAAACUGGCAAACUGGAAUGUGUGAGAGGGGAGUAGAAUUCCAGGUGUAGCAGUGAAAUCCGUAGAUAUCUGGAGGAACAUCAGUGGCGAAGGCGACUAGCUGGAAGAUAACUGACGCUGAGGUGCGAAAGCGUGGGUAGCAAACAGGAUUAGAUACCCGAGUAGUC
Molecule: ribosomal RNA, 465 nt
Filed under: uncultured bacterium
Lineage: Bacteria
Description: partial 16S ribosomal RNA
Rfam family: Bacterial small subunit ribosomal RNA
Source: RNAcentral